GACUAGCAUUAGCCUUCUUCAGUAGAAGCUUUUGUCUUAAUUUUGAGUACUUUGUAUAAAAUGAUCAGGCGGUGAUCAAGAACGAUAAUUUUCCAGCUCGCCAUGUUAUGAAUGAUCAUGUCUGUAAUUUCAAUCUGCUCAUUGUCAAGUAAGUUUUUACAA
Molecule: long non-coding RNA, 162 nt
Organism: Daucus carota subsp. sativus
Lineage: Eukaryota; Viridiplantae; Streptophyta; Magnoliopsida; Apiales; Apiaceae
Exons: 2
Source: RefSeq, a predicted model, not a curated record